This 497-nucleotide ribosomal RNA is filed under the name uncultured bacterium. RNAcentral's name for it is "partial 16S ribosomal RNA". It matches the Rfam family "Bacterial small subunit ribosomal RNA", at positions 28 to 507 of the family's 1533-position model. The record is from RNAcentral.
GAUGAACGCUGGCGGCGUGCCUAAUCCAUGCAAGUCGAGCGAACAGACGAGGCACUUGCCACUCUGACGUUAGCGGCGGACGGGUGAGUAACACGAGGAUCCACUCCCUAUAAGACUGGGAUAACUUCGGGAAACCGGAGCUAAUACCGGAUAAACUACUGAACAGCAUGGUUCAAUAGUGAAAGAAGGCUUUGCUGCCACUUAUAGAUGGAUCCGCGCCGCAUUAGCUAGUUGGUAAGGUAACGGCUUACCAAGGCAACGAUGCAUAGCCGACCUGAGAGGGUGAUCGGCCAAACUAGAACUGAGACACGGUGCAAGCGCCUACGGGAGGCAGCAGUAGGGAGUCUUCCGCAAUGAGCGAAGUCUUGCCGGAGCAACGCCGCGUAGGGGAUAAAGGUCCUCGGAUCGUAAAACUCUGUUAUUAGGGAAGAACAAAUUUGUAAGUAAAGUGGCACGUCUUGACGGGACCUAAUCAGAAAGCCACGGCUAGCUACGUG